Molecule: long non-coding RNA, 238 nt
Filed under: Zostera marina
Lineage: Eukaryota; Viridiplantae; Streptophyta; Magnoliopsida; Alismatales; Zosteraceae
Description: long non-coding RNA (ZMAR_LNC003980)
Source: RNAcentral
CUUACCAGUAAAAGAUAGGCUAAUUGAGCGGGGCAUGACAAUCAGUGGAGAAUAUGAGCUCUGCAAUCGUGAAUAAGAAUCGAUUGACCAUCUAUUUGCCAAAUGCGAAUUCACAAAAUGGGUUCUGAAUGAGGCAAUGGAAGCCGUCAGAGCGCUGGUUAAACUGGAAGCAGUGACCAACUUUGAGGAAGCCGCUAAGGAACUCAACAAGGUGACAUCGGGCUCGCCAACGUGUGGG